AGUUUGAUCAUGGCUACAGAACGAACGCUGGCGGCAGGCUUAACACAUGCAAGUCGAGCGCCUCGCAAGAGGAGCGGCAGACGGGUGAGUAACGCGUGGGAAUCUACCCAUCUCUACGGAACAACUCCGGGAAACUGGAGCUAAUACCGUAUACGUCCUUCGGGAGAAAGAUUUAUCGGAGAUGGAUGAGCCCGCGUUGGAUUAGCUAGUUGGUGGGGUAAUGGCCUGCCAAGGCGACGAUCCAUAGCUGGUCUGAGAGGAUGAUCAGCCACACUGGGACUGAGACACGGCCCAGACUCCUACGGGAGGCAGCAGUGGGGAAUAUUGGACAAUGGGCGAAAGCCUGAUCCAGCCAUGCCGCGUGAGUGAUGAAGGCCCUAGGGUUGUAAAGCUCUUUCAACGGUGAAGAUAAUGACGGUAACCGUAGAAGAAGCCCCGGCUAACUUCGUG
This 450-nucleotide ribosomal RNA is filed under the name uncultured bacterium. RNAcentral's name for it is "bacterial SSU rRNA". It matches the Rfam family "Bacterial small subunit ribosomal RNA", at positions 10 to 507 of the family's 1533-position model. The record is from RNAcentral.